RNAcentral lists this non-coding RNA (111 nucleotides) under Desulforamulus ferrireducens. RNAcentral describes it as "Desulfotomaculum ferrireducens TPP sequence". It matches the Rfam family "TPP riboswitch aptamer (THI element)". Rfam says of the family: Vitamin B(1) in its active form thiamin pyrophosphate (TPP) is an essential coenzyme that is synthesised by coupling of pyrimidine and thiazole moieties in bacteria. The previously detected thiamin-regulatory element, thi box was extended, resulting in a new, highly conserved RNA secondary structure, the THI element, which is widely distributed in eubacteria and also occurs in some archaea. Analysis of operon structures identified a large number of new candidate thiamin-regulated genes, mostly transporters, in various prokaryotic organisms. The record is from Rfam by way of RNAcentral. Lineage: Bacteria; Bacillati; Bacillota; Clostridia; Eubacteriales; Peptococcaceae.
CAAAUACAUCUGGGGAGCCGGGGAUGACCUGGCUGAGAGGGUGCCACAGGGUGCCGACCCAAGAACCUGAUCUGGGUAAUGCCAGCGGAGGGAGAGUGAUUUAAGAUGGCC